GAAUGUGAGGGAGAUUUGGCUGUGAUACUUGUCACCCCAUUGAUCACCAGUGUUGAUUCAGCUGAAAGGGUUGGGUAGGCAGAUGUCUGCUUCCCCCUUCACUGCGCCAUGUUCAUCUAUCCAGAAGCUACAUGCUAUGUGGAAGAUAAUCCCUCCUCUGAAUAGAGAUGGACCAUUCUUCUUUCAAGGGUAUAUACCUAUUGCAUCCCCUGAGAAGAACCUCCAAACAAGUUCUCAUAAUAGGCUAAGUAGAUGCUGCCCCCUACACCCCUACUCCUUGCUCAUAUGGGUUUAUGGCUCAUAUUAUUAACCCUC
RNAcentral lists this small nuclear RNA (315 nucleotides) under Sorex araneus (European shrew). RNAcentral describes it as "7SK RNA (ENSSARG00000017888.1)". It matches the Rfam family "7SK RNA". Rfam says of the family: 7SK was discovered as an abundant small nuclear RNA in the mid-70s but a possible function has only recently been suggested. Two independent studies have found that 7SK RNA binds the CDK9/cyclin T complex (known as elongation factor P-TEFb). Lineage: Eukaryota; Metazoa; Chordata; Mammalia; Eulipotyphla; Soricidae. The record is from RNAcentral.